Molecule: ribosomal RNA, 442 nt
Filed under: uncultured Prevotella sp.
Lineage: Bacteria; Pseudomonadati; Bacteroidota; Bacteroidia; Bacteroidales; Prevotellaceae
Description: bacterial SSU rRNA
Rfam family: Bacterial small subunit ribosomal RNA
Source: RNAcentral
UGAGGAAUAUUGGUCAAUGGGCGAGAGCCUGAACCAGCCAAGUAGCGUGCAGGACGACGGCCCUAUGGGUUGUAAACUGCUUUUGCGCGGGGAUAAAGUGCGCCACGUGUGGCUCAUUGCAGGUACCGCGCGAAUAAGGACCGGCUAAUUCCGUGCCAGCAGCCGCGGUAAUACGGAAGGUCCGGGCGUUAUCCGGAUUUAUUGGGUUUAAAGGGAGCGCAGGCCGGGUAUUAAGCGUGUUGUGAAAUGUAGGCGCCCAACGUCUGCACCGCAGCGCGAACUGGUGCCCUUGAGUACGCACGACGUUGGCGGAAUUCGCCGUGUAGCGGUGAAAUGCUUAGAUAUGGCGAAGAACUCCGAUUGCGAAGGCAGCUGACGGGAGCGCUACUGACGCUCAUGCUCGAAAGCGCGGGUAUCGAACAGGAUUAGAUACCCUGGUAGU